CACACUCAAUUAGUUAGGAAGGGGGGGAAGGACGGCAGUUCGGUAGCGCUAUUACUCCCAGGGCCACACAACCGCUCAAGGGGUUUGUCCAAGGGGAGGCUAAUCGGCAGGGGGGACCCCCAUCCCACAAACCCCCCUCUCAGUUGGGAUUGGCCUCUGCAACUUGUUCACAGGAAAGAUGGAGUUGGUAGUAAUCGGGGGUCAGCUCGGUGCGGUGAAUACGUUCCCGGGCCUUGUACAGGCAGCCCAGCAACCCAUGUCCCUGAAGACCCGAAUCUGUUUUUAACCCACCCAGAAAACUGAAGUAUAACGUUCCCCGGAGUGUGUAUGAAAGAAAAAAAGACAUGUC
RNAcentral lists this ribosomal RNA (349 nucleotides) under uncultured soil bacterium. RNAcentral describes it as "partial small subunit ribosomal RNA". The stretch from base 1 to 240 matches the Rfam family "Bacterial small subunit ribosomal RNA", at positions 1147 to 1387 of the family's 1533-position model. The record is from RNAcentral.